GAUCAUGGCUCAGGAUGAACGCUGGCGGCGUGCCUAACACAUGCAAGUCGAGCGAAGCACUUUGCUUAGAUUCUUCGGAUGAAGAGGAUUGUGACUGAGCGGGCGGACGGGUGAGUAACGCGUGGGUAACCUGCCUCAUACAGGGGGAUAACAGUUAGAAAUGACUGCUAAUACCGCAUAAGACCACAGCACCGCAUGGUGCGGGGGUAAAAACUCCGGUGGUAUGAGAUGGACCCCG
RNAcentral lists this ribosomal RNA (238 nucleotides) under uncultured bacterium. RNAcentral describes it as "partial 16S ribosomal RNA". It matches the Rfam family "Bacterial small subunit ribosomal RNA", at positions 15 to 235 of the family's 1533-position model. The record is from RNAcentral.